Molecule: ribosomal RNA, 478 nt
Filed under: uncultured bacterium
Lineage: Bacteria
Description: partial 16S ribosomal RNA
Rfam family: Bacterial small subunit ribosomal RNA
Source: RNAcentral
GACGAACGCUGGCGGCGUGCUUAACACAUGCAAGUCGAGCGGUAAGGCCUUUCGGGGUACACGAGCGGCGAACGGGUGAGUAACACGUGGGUGAUCUGCCCUGCACUCUGGGAUAAGCCUGGGAAACUGGGUCUAAUACUGGAUAUGACCUCAGCAUGCAUGUGCUGGGGUGGAAAGCUUUUGUGGUGCAGGAUGGGCCCGCGGCCUAUCAGCUUGUUGGUGGGGUAAUGGCCUACCAAGGCGACGACGGGUAGCCGACCUGAGAGGGUGACCGGCCACACUGGGACUGAGACACGGCCCAGACUCCUACGGGAGGCAGCAGUGGGGAAUAUUGCACAAUGGGCGGAAGCCUGAUGCAGCGACGCCGCGUGAGGGAUGAAGGCCUUCGGGUUGUAAACCUCUUUCAGCAGGGACGAAGCGUGAGUGACGGUACCUGCAGAAGAAGCACCGGCUAACUACGUGCCAGCCGCCGCCGUAA